UGGGGAAUUUUUCGCAAUGGGGGAAACCCUGACGAAGCAACGCCGCGUGGAGGAUGAAGGCCUUCGGGUCGUAAACUCCUGUCGACCGGGACGAACGCUAUUGGGCCCAAUACGCCCGAUAGCGACUGUACCGGUGGAGGAAGCCACGGCUAACUCUGUGCCAGCAGCCGCGGUAAUACAGAGGUGGCAAGCGUUGUUCGGAAUUACUGGGCGUAAAGGGCGCGUAGGCGGUCCUGUCAGUCCCUUGUGAAAUCCCCGGCUCAACUGGGGAACUGCAAGGGAUACAGCAGGGCUUGAGUUCGGGAGAGGGAAGCGGAAUUCCGGGUGUAGCGGUGAAAUGCGUAGAUAUCCGGAGGAACACCGGUGGCGAAGGCGGCUUCCUGGACCGAUACUGACGCUGAGGCGCGAAAGCUAGGGGAGCAAACGGGAUUAGAUACCCUAGUAGUCCCUGAGCGGGCUGGCAAGGCGCAU
RNAcentral lists this ribosomal RNA (471 nucleotides) under uncultured bacterium. Its description in RNAcentral is "bacterial SSU rRNA". It matches the Rfam family "Bacterial small subunit ribosomal RNA", at positions 355 to 825 of the family's 1533-position model. The record is from RNAcentral.